Juglans microcarpa x Juglans regia is the source of this 211-nucleotide long non-coding RNA. RefSeq lists it as uncharacterized. Lineage: Eukaryota; Viridiplantae; Streptophyta; Magnoliopsida; Fagales; Juglandaceae. The transcript has 2 exons. The record is from RefSeq and is a predicted model, not a curated record.
AGGCUUGAAGCAAAGGAGUGUUGUAAACAAAAUUAAAUAAAAGCACUAUCUUUCCAUUUAACUUGUAUAAUUAAUGUUUCCUAAUUCCAACAGCAUUGUUAAACUCCAUACGCAUUUCACCUCUGAAAGAUCUUCAAAUCCAACAAGUUACGCCUGAAGGAAACAAAAAAAGGUCAGUGGUCUGCAUAAAACCAUGCAUAUAGAAUUACCA